Molecule: ribosomal RNA, 497 nt
Filed under: uncultured bacterium
Lineage: Bacteria
Description: partial 16S ribosomal RNA
Rfam family: Bacterial small subunit ribosomal RNA
Source: RNAcentral
GAUGAACGCUGGCGGCGUGCUUAACACAUGCAAGUCGAACGGUGAAGCGCCUUCCUUUUUCGUGUGUGUGGAUGAGUGGCCAACUGGUUAAUAACUCGAUAGUAACCUGCUCCCUCCUUCUUGAUAACGGCAUGAAAGUGUGGCUAAUACCGGAUAUUCUGUGCCUGUCGCAUCAUGGGUCUGUGACAGCUUUUGUUUCUGUGGGGGAUGGUUUCGCGGCCUAUUAGCUUGUUGGUAGGGUAACGGCUUACCAAGGCGACGAUGCGUAGCCGGCCUGAGAGGAUGAUCGGCCACACUGGAACUGAGACAAGGUCCAGACUCCUACGGGAGGAAGCAGUAGGGAAUAUUAAGCAAUGGGCGGAAGCAUGAUGGAGCAACGACGCGUGGGUGAAGAAGGUCUUCGGAUCGUAAAGCACUUUUAUUAGGAAAGAAGAAAUGCUGAAUUAUCUAUGGAUGUGUUGACGGUACCUAAAGAAGAAGCACCGGCUAACUACGUG